UGGGGAAUAUUGCACAAUGGGCGCAAGCCUGAUGCAGCCAUGCCGCGUGUAUGAAGAAGGCCUUCGGGUUGUAAAGUACUUUCAGCGGGGAGGAAGGGAGUAAAGUUAAUACCUUUGCUCAUUGACGUUACCCGCAGAAGAAGCACCGGCUAACUCCGUGCCAGCAGCCGCGGUAAUACGGAGGGUGCAAGCGUUAAUCGGAAUUACUGGGCGUAAAGCGCACGCAGGCGGUUUGUUAAGUCAGAUGUGAAAUCCCCGGGCUCAACCUGGGAACUGCAUCUGAUACUGGCAAGCUUGAGUCUCGUAGAGGGGGGUAGAGUUCCAGGUGUAGCGGUGAAAUGCGUAGAGAUCUGGAGGAAUACCGGUGGCGAAGGCGGCCCCCUGGACAAAGACUGACGCUCAGGUGCGAAAGCGUGGGGAGCAAACAGG
This 429-nucleotide ribosomal RNA is filed under the name Chloroflexota bacterium. RNAcentral describes it as "Chloroflexi bacterium partial 16S ribosomal RNA". It matches the Rfam family "Bacterial small subunit ribosomal RNA", at positions 355 to 776 of the family's 1533-position model. Lineage: Bacteria; Bacillati; Chloroflexota. The record is from RNAcentral.